CGCGGGGUGGAGCAGUCUGGUAGCUCGCAAGGUUCAUAACUUUGAGGUCCCGGGUUCAAAUCCCGGUUCCGCAACUA
RNAcentral lists this transfer RNA (77 nucleotides) under Deltaproteobacteria bacterium. Its description in RNAcentral is "tRNA-Met". It matches the Rfam family "tRNA". Rfam says of the family: Transfer RNA (tRNA) molecules are approximately 80 nucleotides in length. Their secondary structure includes four short double-helical elements and three loops (D, anti-codon, and T loops). Further hydrogen bonds mediate the characteristic L-shaped molecular structure. tRNAs have two regions of fundamental functional importance: the anti-codon, which is responsible for specific mRNA codon recognition, and the 3' end, to which the tRNAs corresponding amino acid is attached (by aminoacyl-tRNA synthetases). tRNAs cope with the degeneracy of the genetic code in two manners: having more than one tRNA (with a specific anti-codon) for a particular amino acid; and 'wobble' base-pairing, i.e. permitting non-standard base-pairing at the 3rd anti-codon position. Lineage: Bacteria; Pseudomonadati; Myxococcota; Myxococcia. The record is from RNAcentral.